ACCAAGAAUGGAUACAUCACCAGGAGUGAGCCCUAAUAUAAUCUAUGGGUGCUGAGUGAUAAUGUAUGAAUGUAGGUUCAUUGAUAUUGUAACAAAUGUACCACUCCGGAGGGAGAUGCUGAUAAUGGGGGAGACUGUGCAUGUUUUGGGGCAGGCAGUAUAUGGUACAUCUCUGUAUCUUCCAUCAGUUUUGCUGUGAACCUAAAACUGCUCUAAAAAUAAAGUCUAUUAAAAAAACUCAUCAUUUAGCAUUAGGUAUAUCUCCUAAAGCUAUCCCUCCC
RNAcentral lists this long non-coding RNA (281 nucleotides) under Pan troglodytes (chimpanzee). RNAcentral describes it as "long non-coding RNA NONPTRT016284". The record is from RNAcentral. Lineage: Eukaryota; Metazoa; Chordata; Mammalia; Primates; Hominidae.